GGGGAUUUAGCUCACUGGUAGAGCACUUGCCUAGCAAGCACAAGGCCCUGGGUUCGGUCCCCAGCUCCA
This 69-nucleotide transfer RNA is filed under the name Rattus norvegicus (Norway rat). It matches the Rfam family "tRNA". From Rfam's summary of the family: Transfer RNA (tRNA) molecules are approximately 80 nucleotides in length. Their secondary structure includes four short double-helical elements and three loops (D, anti-codon, and T loops). The record is from Rfam by way of RNAcentral. Lineage: Eukaryota; Metazoa; Chordata; Mammalia; Rodentia; Muridae.